This 417-nucleotide ribosomal RNA is filed under the name uncultured bacterium. RNAcentral's name for it is "bacterial SSU rRNA". It matches the Rfam family "Bacterial small subunit ribosomal RNA", at positions 355 to 786 of the family's 1533-position model. The record is from RNAcentral.
UCGGGAAUAUUGCGCAAUGGAGGAAACUCUGACGCAGUGACGCCGCGUGCAGGAAGAAGGUUUUCGGAUUGUAAACUGCUUUAGACAGGGAAGAAACAAGACAGUACCUGUAGAAUAAGCUCCGGCUAACUACGUGCCAGCAGCCGCGGUAAUACGUAGGGAGCAAGCGUUAUCCGGAUUUAUUGGGUGUAAAGGGUGCGUAGACGGGAAAUUAAGUUAGUUGUGAAAUCCCUCGGCUUAACUGAGGAACUGCAACUAAAACCUGAUUUUUCUUGAGUGUUGGAGAGGAAAGUGGAAUUCCUAGUGUAGCGGUGAAAUGCGUAGAUAUUAGGAGGAACACCAGUGGCGAAGGCGGCUUGCUGGACCGAAACUGACGCUGAGGCUCGAAAGCGUGGGGAGCAAACAGGAUUAGAUACC